Tupaia belangeri chinensis (Chinese tree shrew) is the source of this 1031-nucleotide long non-coding RNA. RefSeq lists it as uncharacterized. The transcript has 2 exons. NCBI's taxonomy places the organism in Eukaryota, Metazoa, Chordata, Mammalia, Scandentia, Tupaiidae. The record is from RefSeq and is a predicted model, not a curated record.
GCGGUCCUCGGUGGCGUUCCUGGACGCCGACCCGGCGCCGAAGUUCUCACGAGACAGAAUUCCUUCCUUUUUCUUGUAUUCGCUUACUUAGAAAGCCAGAUGUCAUUUUUUUCAUUGAAAAGACAAAAUUGACAGAACCUAACGGGUCGUUUGGAGGGGUCGCGCUGAGGACGCUGCCCGAGCCCCAUCGCUCUACCUGAGGAGUAGUUUGAUUCUGUUUUCCACAUUUUCUCUCCCAGUCCCCCUUUUUCACUCCUCUCCUCGUUUUCCUUCCCCUAGAAGGUGGUGAGACCUAAAGGACCGAUUACCCUACCUUCUGGGCUCUUUGUCAAAAACUGGAGCCAAAGAAGGUUGAUUUUUGACAAACCCCCUGCUCAGUGCGGCACCUGUUUUCUCUGUAUUUAUAUUACUGAAGGCCCUUGGUACACUAUUAUGAAAAUUAAGAUGCCAUCUGGGGCAAUACUGCCUAGGCAGCACCGGAAGGUUUCAUUUAUCCGAUAGGCCUAAUUUCGUUUUAAAAUUCAUUUUUAAAAAAUAGUUUUUCCCUCAGCGAUCUCAGAUGUUUUGCUUUACUAUAUUUUUAAAAAGAAUUAUUAUGAUGAAAAAGUUAAUUUUAACAUUUUAGUUUUUUAGUUUUUUCUCUUCAAAAGAUUUUCACAAGAGGCAGAUUAUUGUGAAAGGGGGGGAGGGAAUGUUUGUUGGCAGUAUUUAAGGAAUAGACGGAGUCACAGAAGAACGGAUAUAUGCAAAAGUACCACCCUGCAAAAAGGGGGAAAAGGUGGAUUCCAUAGAUCACACACUGGAUCUUGGACACAACAGGCACGUACACGUGCCCAGUGUGAAUUUCAAGCUACCGGUCUGCUACGCAAACCAUGAUCGGCUAUGAGGGAGUCUGCGAUGUAACAGCUAUGCCAUCUGCUGGCCCCAUCCCACCAUUUAUUAAAUGAAUAUAUAUGAGGCUACUUCAAGUAAUUCAUGGAAAAUUCAAUUAAAGUACAAGUUUGUUCUGGUGCAAGUAAAAUUUAAAAUUU